This 72-nucleotide transfer RNA is filed under the name Candidatus Tayloriibacteriota bacterium. Its description in RNAcentral is "tRNA-Arg". It matches the Rfam family "tRNA". From Rfam's summary of the family: Transfer RNA (tRNA) molecules are approximately 80 nucleotides in length. Lineage: Bacteria; Candidatus Tayloriibacteriota. The record is from RNAcentral.
GCGCCUGUCGUUCAAUGGAUAGGACAAUAGUCUUCGGAACUAUUGAUGUGGGUUCGAUUCCUGCCAGGCGCA